GGCCACAUCUGCCAGAGCCUGGAGUCUGCGAAGGCCGGGACCCGGUUCCCCGGCCCGCCGUGGGGAGUGUGCAAACCCGAGAGAACUGGGUAAGUUGGGGUCGGCUUGCAGUUUGGGUUACCCCGAGGGCGGUGUACGUCGGUAAGAUUGUAACAGUAUUACUGGAAGACUUACUCGACUGUCCUGAUGAUACUUGUAAUAGGAAGUGCCGUCAGAAGCGAUAACUGACGACGUCUAACGUCUAUCUGACCGCAGUCGCUGAAACCUCUACAACUUAGUUGACCGUAACUGCCAGAGCCCUGCCCUGAAUUCCUGUCCUUACUCCCUCUUUCAGAUUGCGUACCCACUGCAGAGGGCUGAAGACGGGGUAGCCACGAGGUUGCAAAUUCGUGAAGAAUCAGCAGCAUGUUUGGCAGCUGAGUAUUGGAGCCAGGAGCCUGCCAUGAGGUUUUGAGAACAGGGUGCUGUUUUAGAGCUGGCAGCAGCAUCUCAGCCCAAGAGAAGGUUAUAUUCCCAGAGGAUGUCAGUCCCAAGGACCAGUAGCUGCCAUCAGUUUGGAUUCUGAAAACUAACCGGCAUCAACAUUGGGUGUAGAAACAUGCUUGCCUUGUGUAUCAGAGGACAUGCUCAGCAGAUCCAAGAGAUAUAUUUGGCAACUUUUUCUAGAAAAGGCACAUUAGGUAUCAUUCAUUACAUUCUUGAGUUUUUUUGGGGUUUUUUUUUUUUUUGAGACAGUCUUGCUGUGUUGCCCAGGCUGGAGUGUGGUGGCACAAUCACAGCUCAUUGCAGCCUCAAUCACCCAGGCCUAAGCAAUCCUCCCACCUUGUAGCUGGGACUACAGCUCACAGCACACCUGGCUAAAAUUUUUUUUUGUUGAGACGGAUUCUCUAUGUUGCUCAGGCUGGUCUCAAGCUCCUGGGCUUAGAUGGUCCUCCUGCCUCAGCUUCCAAAGGCACAGGCCAAGUU
RNAcentral lists this antisense RNA (966 nucleotides) under Pongo abelii (Sumatran orangutan). The stretch from base 180 to 251 matches the Rfam family "Small nucleolar RNA SNORD49". The record is from RNAcentral. Lineage: Eukaryota; Metazoa; Chordata; Mammalia; Primates; Hominidae.